Thunnus maccoyii (southern bluefin tuna) is the source of this 672-nucleotide long non-coding RNA. RefSeq lists it as uncharacterized. The transcript has 3 exons. NCBI's taxonomy places the organism in Eukaryota, Metazoa, Chordata, Actinopteri, Scombriformes, Scombridae. The record is from RefSeq and is a predicted model, not a curated record.
GUUUUCCUCGCUGUCAGGCCUGGAUUGAGCCUCGGGACCAGGGAGCCAAUCGCCAACCUGAUUUGUCUGCUGAUUGGCCUGGGGUCUUAGUAAGAUCCAUGCCUAUUAUGACACCUGAUUGGUCCAACGCACGUAGCCUCCUGCAUCAACAACAUCAUCGCCUGGAAAUUUUCCAGUCUGUGCACAAAGCAGAGUUGUGUACAGGGCAAGAUGGUCAGAUGGAUAAUGAACAGCGAAAGAGAAAGGGUGGAGCUGAGAGGGAAAAGGCAAAGAGGAAAAAGGCCCUUGACAGUGAGGCGGGGAAAUCUCAAAAAAUCAGCGAUAUGUUUGCAAAAAAGGCAUCAGGUAAACAAGCAUAUCAUUGACUAGUAAGUGGAAGGAAGAGACUGACAUUCCCCGGGGACUGGACUGAAGUAGAGAGAGAGAAGAGAGAGGGCAGGCAUCAUUAUGAUGUACAAUGUAAAUUUGCUGCUAUAAAGUGUAUUCAUCAAUGCUACUCAACAGGUUAUACAUCAAAGAAACACUAUAUCUCCAUCAUGUAUGUAAACGGCAAUGGAAAAAAGCUAUAUGUUGUAAGCUUUAGGAUUUACAGGGCUACUGUACUAUAUUGUAUUAGAUUGUACAUACUGUAUGAACCUAAGAAACUGCUAACUUCCUUUAGUGCUGUGAUGA